CGGCGUAAAGAGUGGUUAUGGAGAAUAAAACACUAAAGCUAAAGACCCCCUAGGCUGUUAUACGCACCUGGCGGCUCGAACCACCUAUACGAAAGUAGCUUUACCCCCCUUCCACCAGAAUCCACGACAGCUGGGGCACAAACUGGGAUUAGAUACCCCACUAUGCCCUGCCGUAAACUUAGAUAUUUCAAUACAACAAAUAUCCGCCCGGGGACUACGAGCGCCAGCUUAAAACCCAAAGGACUUGGCGGUGCUUCAGACCCCCCUAGAGGAGCCUGUUCUAGAACCGAUAACCCCCGUUCAACCUCACUACUCCUUGCUUUUCCCGCCUAUAUACCGCCGUCGCCAGCUUACCCUGUGAAGGUGUCGCAGUAAGCAAAAUGGGCAAUGCCCAAAACGUCAGGUCGAGGUGUAGCGUACGAAGUAGGAAGAAAUGGGCUACAUUAUCUGAAGCAGAUUAUUCACGAAAAGUCAUCUGAAAUCGAUGACUCGAAGGUGGAUUUAGCAGUAAGGGGGGAAUAGAGCGCCCCCCUGAAGCCGGCUCUGAAGCGCGCACACACCGCCCGUCACUCUCCCCAACAACA
RNAcentral lists this ribosomal RNA (584 nucleotides) under Dorosoma cepedianum (American gizzard shad). RNAcentral's name for it is "partial 12S ribosomal RNA". It matches the Rfam family "Bacterial small subunit ribosomal RNA", at positions 556 to 1414 of the family's 1533-position model. The record is from RNAcentral. Lineage: Eukaryota; Metazoa; Chordata; Actinopteri; Clupeiformes; Clupeidae.